ACAGCAGUCGCCACGGUAAUACGUAGGUGGCAAGCGUUGUCCGGAAUUAUUGGGCGUAAAGGGCUCGCAGGCGGUUUCUUAAGUCUGAUGUGAGAGCCCCCGGCUCAACCGGGGAGGGUCAUUGGAAACUGGGAAACUUGAGUGCAGAAGAGGAGAGUGGAAUUCCACGUGUAGCGGUGAAAUGCGUAGAGAUGUGGAGGAACACCAGUGGCGAAGGCGACUCUCUGGUCUGUAACUGACGCUGAGGAGCGAAAGCGUGGGGAGCGAACAGGAUUAGAUACCCGCGUAGUCCCUGUCUCUUAUAC
RNAcentral lists this ribosomal RNA (305 nucleotides) under uncultured bacterium. RNAcentral's name for it is "partial 16S ribosomal RNA". It matches the Rfam family "Bacterial small subunit ribosomal RNA", at positions 505 to 807 of the family's 1533-position model. The record is from RNAcentral.